This is a long non-coding RNA of Dermacentor andersoni, 481 nucleotides long. RefSeq lists it as uncharacterized. The record is from RefSeq and is a predicted model, not a curated record. NCBI's taxonomy places the organism in Eukaryota, Metazoa, Arthropoda, Arachnida, Ixodida, Ixodidae.
CUUAAGAUGGCGGCUACGUGGAAACAGCUGAUCGGUUCUGUGGGCCGCUCUUGGUGUAUUUUUGUCCGUAACGCUGCCUGAUGAGAUGAAAUCUCGGCGUACGAGGUACUUUCGCCCGAGAAGAAUUCUGGAAGCUGUGAACAUCAUGAAGACUGUGAAAGCGUAGUGCUCGGAUACGGAAGAAUCGAUGAAGGUUGGAAGGCAUCUCAACAGAUAGCUGUGGUACAUUCCCCCGUGCGGGCGGUACAGAUACUCCGCCAACAGCCGCUGGAGGAUGCGGCCUGCAGGGCAACCGCCAAGUAUGCGCGGCAGGGGCAGCUGGCUGAAGCAGCGAACGCGGAGGCCGCCAGUUUCCACCAGCUGCUGCUGCAGCAAAAUAGGCAGGUACGUACAACUUGGCCAGGUCAUUUUUUAAAGAGGUGAUUAGUGCGCAUGAUAAUGUACAUUACAACCAUAUUACACAUCAGAGGCAUCUGUAGUC